Gopherus evgoodei (Goodes thornscrub tortoise) is the source of this 4535-nucleotide long non-coding RNA. RefSeq lists it as uncharacterized. The record is from RefSeq and is a predicted model, not a curated record. The transcript is spliced from 3 exons. NCBI's taxonomy places the organism in Eukaryota, Metazoa, Chordata, Testudines, Testudinidae.
UUUCCCCACAAGGUAGUCAUAGAUAUUUGAUGCAAUUAGAAUGACCUCUAUAUUUUUGGCACAGCGAGCAGGAUGUGAUCGGGAAUCCUCGGAGAGUUUCUCACAACCAGGGAUAGAGGUGAGUAUCCUUUUACUUACCACCUCUACUGUACACCUUGAUUUGGGACUCCCCGAGACAUCCCUUCGCACUCCCUUUUUAAUAUGAACCACAUAUAGAAUGCACAGACCAGAGGACUGAAUGGAACCGUGUUUGUGGCCAAGUUUUUGGAGUGCAGAGAUCGCUGGAGGCGAAGGCUGCAUCACCAGUUACUGAGCACCAAGUGGGCGCUGCAGUAAACUGAGUACAAAGGUGUGUUCAGUCGGUCUCCCCUGAAGCACUGCUUAAGUGGGUUUCAGGAAGCUGGGAUACAAUGUCCUAUGAGUUGCCCCAGAAUGUGUCAAUGAUUCCCUCUAUGGGAGGGGGAUUCAUUGGCAUGCCCCAGGUGCACCAAAGAUACUUACUCUCUACAGGAGGGAGACUCAUUGACUGGCCCCGGGGAACAUCAAUGAUGCCCUCUACGGAAGGGAGGCUCAUUGAUUUUAUAAAAGGGAAACAUGAGAAGGUUCAAAAGAUGAUCGCAAAAAUGGAUGGAAUGAGGGUAUGAGUAUGAUGGACAGUGUGUUGUGAUGGUCUGGUCAGACGAAAGGAAGAUUAGAGAAGGGGACUGUAAAAAUGUAUUGAGAAUAUGAAAGGAAACUACAAGAGUUGGAAAUACUCCAAAAGGCUCUUACAUCAGAGCUAAAUCAAAAGGUAGAUUGCAACUGCAAGCUGAGUAAACUUGAAGCAGAAAACAAAGCUCUAAAAGCAAAACUAAAAAAAAAAGCCCAACUCCUAUGCGCAUCGUAUUGUUGCUACCAUACAACAGAAGGGUAAAUUUUACUGACCCUGACUCAAGCAGCAAUACUGAUAAAGACCAAAAUGAAAUUAAUUGGAAACACCUUAAGAAACAAAUUCAAAGUUGGAACCUGGCACACACGGGGGAAGAUCAAGAUAAUUUACCCCCUCCUUCUCCCCCCUUUUAACUCAGAAUUAAGUGCCAGUGCUCCCUUGGCCCCUCUCCAAGUGACCACUUGGUGGUCAGGAACAGGUGAAAACAGAGUGGCUCAUAAUACUUACAAGUACAUUCCUCUCAGCACAGAGGAAAUGAAGGGCUUACUGAAAGAUCUUCCUGAUCUAAAGCCCAAAACCCCAAAUUUGAUAUUCUGGAAAAGAAUAAGCCAGAUGGUUACCAUCUAUACGUUACAUCCCAAAAGGGAUCUUUAUAUCUUAACAAAAGCUAAAUGCCCCGAUCUAUCAUGGGCCAAGAUCCCUACAGAAGAUCCGAAACAGCAUUUGGGCCUCUGUUAAAUCUGAAAAUGAUAUGACCUGGGCCUGCAAUGAGUUUAAGGAAGCUGUCCAAGAAGCCUUGGGGAAUGGAGCCGGUAACUGGGGACUGAUCGUGGGCUGUGUACAAUGCAAGGCCGAGCCUGCGGCUCAAUAUUGAGAAAGAAAAUGAGAGAUAUAUUCCAGCAAUGCAGGCCUUGCAGACCCAAAGAAAACAGGUCAGGGCUUCUAAAAAUGUUAAAGGAAAGUUUUAACUCCCACCUGCAAACAGCCCUUAAUUUGGGAGUGAACCCAAGCUCUUAUUAUGAAUCCAUCUGUAUGUGGGCCUCUGAAUGUGCAGCCAGACAAGCUAAAAAAAAUAAGGAGCAAGGCUACUUGCGUUGCCAUGGUAACAGCAGAAGAUCAUGUAGCCUGUUAUAAUUGUGGCUGUCUCGGAUAUACCCAAAAGCACUGCAGGCACAAGGCCCAAAAGCCUAGUCAGGGACACAAUUAUGGCCAGUUGAAUCCCUGCAGCACCUCACUGCCCUUUCAGUAUCGUCCCCGCCCCUCCUCCCCCACACACAGUGUUUUGUACGUGCGGAAACUGGACAUUGGGCAGCUGGAUGCCCAAGCCGAGUAGCCCUGGGCAACUGGCCCCAACUGGUAUCUCAACCAGCUGCCAACCCUUGCUCACACCUAAGCAAAGAGCAAAUGGCCAGGCUUUUAAAUUCCAUGACCCGCUAGGAUCCAGCUGCCCCCCCCUUGCUCAUCAGUACUGCUAAUGCAGAUAUAAAUCCUUUGAGACUACACUUACAAGCAUGAAUUAGGGGCUGGCCAUGCACAAUUCUUGUGGACAUGGAAGCAUCUGUUUCCAUUACUGACCUCCCCUUCCCCACUACUAAACAGUAUGCUACUACAGUAUUUCAGGGGUAGGAGGUGCACAACUCCUGAGUUAUAAAAGCUAUCCUGUUCUUGUAAAAUCUCAUCUAUUCUUCUGGACUCAGCCUUUUUUUUAAAAUGUAGUUCCAAAUGCAGAGGGGACUAUUUUGGGCAUGGAUGUCCUCUGCGACCUGGCAGCAAUUCUUAAUCUCGCGCAGAGUACAGUUACUGAUAAACUUAUGCGUACUCAUACCAUUCCUCUCCGUAAUGAUAAACUUUUCUCUUCUGUUGCAACUGCCAAAUCCAUGGCUCUCACUUGGGACACCUCUAACCCUUUUUCAAGAAUUAUGUUCCAGGUUCCCCUCUGUUUGGGCAGAAAAUAAAUGGUCUUGCAGUUUGAUGCCUGCUCAUCUUUGCCCACCCAUCCAGAUUACCAGUCAACUCCCUCCACCUCUCAAACCUGAGGCCGUAGAUGUGGUAACGAACAACUCCCCACAUUAAUCCUCCUGGCAAACGUACCUGAUGCAGCCUCCUGGGACCUGCCCUUAAUGCAUGUUACACAAGAUGCCUGUUUCAAAGCUGGCCAGUAUGUGCAACUCCCUACAGGAGACAGCAGUGAAUAGGUAAAAAAACAAAACAAAAAACGGACACUUGGCUUGCCCCCAGAACGACCACCUGGGACCUAUCAUGGUUACAGCUCGCCUCCAAAAACAUCCAGGUUCCAAGAUCUCAAUCUAUCACAGCCUAGGAGCAGUCUUCGGCUCCCUCCCUGCAUUUCACCGGAUCUGGACUGUAACUGAGUAUUUAGCUCCAUGGGAUGUGGGCACACACAUAUAGGGCCCCCAUUUUGGGAUGCAAGGUCAUACAAUUCUUGGGUCAAAGGCCAAACCACCCAAACCCUUAAGCAUACUAACACCAGGUUAUCUUAUGCUCUAACUGCAACUGCUGUAGGCAUAGAGGAUUUUUCCAAAAUCCUUGAGAAAACCUCAGAUGCUAUAGUCAACCUGGCCAAGUCACAAGCUAAAGAUUGUGCUUGUGAUAUGCUGCCUCAUGAUCUGUUUAACAUUGCAAAAGAAAACAUGUUAGAUGUAUGCCUGGGUUUUCCUCCAUCCCAUACCCUUUCCUCCCCCACCCUUGCCCACAUUGCAGGCAUUUCUACUCAACUGAUAGUAGCCUCUUUACUUCCUCCAGACUCAUCCUUCUCCUUUAAUUUCCCUCUUGUGUAUGCUUCUGUUAUCCCUACCCAUGUGUUUCCUCCUCCUUUCUGUUUUAAGUCUAUUGGAUAUGUAACUAACGAUAUGGUGUACAAAGUAGGGCUGUCCAGAUACCUGGCACCAUCUCCUGCUAAUGCUACACUGAUGACAACCUCAGACUGUUGUACAGAAACAAAACAGUUACAUUGUGGUGUUACUGUUCCACCCUUCGUCCUUUAAUCUUGCCCUCUUCUGUUGUUGUGGAUGUCCUUCCUCUUGCAGACGGUGAAGUUGCUGUAUAAGUAUCCGCUACUCAGUGGUGUUUCAUCAUCACAGCAUCUUAUUACAUACGGAUGAUUACAGUGCCAGGCAAACGCUUCCAUGUGCCUGCAGAUUACUGACUCAUUUACCCCAGGUGAUGUGCACCUCCCCCGCCGUGUGUUCACUAAAAUGACAGCGGGUCCUCCGUGGCAUAACAACUUAUACCUGGACAAUACACUGGUUCAACUAGCCAAGGAGGUACUACUCAAAGUCAUCCUGGCUGCUGCAUCUGUGUUUACCACUGUUCAUAACCACGUCACCAAAUGUCACAUUCCAACCAAACCAAUCACUCAACUGGAAGAUCCUCUUCAUAAUGCAUCCUACAGCCCCAUCUCCUGAUGCUGCUGUUGCUUCUAUAUUUGUGUUGCUAACCUCUCUGGUCAUGUGUGGGUACUUUAGAUACAUGCUUAAAAAUCUUACUAUGGUUCCUACCUUUACCCUCUUUCCCCAUUUCCCUCUCUCCCCUCCCCCUCCUACCUCCCUUGGGCAACCCUAAAACAGAUCAUGUAUAUCAAAGCAUUUGGAGUAUUGACUUUAUCUCAUCUAAAAGUUCUAUAUGUCAACAGGAGGGCACUGUCAGGCAAGAGUUAAAAUUUAGCUAACAACUAAGACAAAAACCGCAGAACAAGCAGGAAUGCUUCAGCAGCAAGGACACUGACAACUGUAAACAACUGAUAAGCUUAUAUGGGCAAUGCCCGCCCAGUAACUCAGCUCUUACAACAGAACAAACCCUCCUUUCACAGCCCACCGAUAUCUGUAAACACUCCUCCCUACCCCCCCACCCACCUCUUCCCCCAUAC